RNAcentral lists this ribosomal RNA (451 nucleotides) under uncultured bacterium. RNAcentral describes it as "partial 16S ribosomal RNA". It matches the Rfam family "Bacterial small subunit ribosomal RNA", at positions 29 to 523 of the family's 1533-position model. The record is from RNAcentral.
AACGAACGCUGGCGGCAGGCUUAACACAUGCAAGUCGAACGGUUGCAGCAAUGCAGCAGUGGCAGACGGGUGAGUAACACGUGGGAACCUUCCUAGGGGUACGGAACAACUCAGGGAAACUUGAGCUAAUACCGUAUACGUCCGUGAGGAGAAAGAUUUAUCGCCCUUAGACGGGCCCGCGUCGGAUUAGCUAGUUGGUGGGGUAAGGGCCUACCAAGGCGACGCUCCGUAGCUGAUCUUAGAGGAUGAUCAGCCACACUGGGACUGAGACACGGCCCAGACUCCUACGGGAGGCAGCAGUGGGGAAUCUUGGACAAUGGGCGCAAGCCUGAUCCAGCCAUGCCGCGUGAGUGAAGAAGGUCUUCGGAUUGUAAAGCUCUUUUGCCAGGGACGAUAAUGACGGUACCUGGAGAAUAAGCCCCGGCAAACUUCGUGCCAGCCGCCGCCGUAA